UACGUAGGGUGCGAGCGUUGUCCGGAAUUACUGGGCGUAAAGAGCUCGUAGGCGGCUUGUUACGUCGGCUGUGAAAUCCCGCGGCUCAACUGCGGGUCUGCAGCCGAUACGGGCAGGCUAGAGUUCGGUAGGGGAGACUGGAAUUCCUGGUGUAGCGGUGAAAUGCGCAGAUAUCAGGAGGAACACCGGUGGCGAAGGCGGGUCUCUGGGCCGAUACUGACGCUGAGGAGCGAAAGCGUGGGGAGCGAACAGG
Molecule: ribosomal RNA, 253 nt
Filed under: uncultured bacterium
Lineage: Bacteria
Description: partial 16S ribosomal RNA
Rfam family: Bacterial small subunit ribosomal RNA
Source: RNAcentral